RNAcentral lists this transfer-messenger RNA (394 nucleotides) under Bacteroidetes bacterium ADurb.Bin217. RNAcentral's name for it is "transfer-messenger RNA, SsrA". It matches the Rfam family "transfer-messenger RNA". From Rfam's summary of the family: Bacterial tmRNA, also known as 10Sa RNA or SsrA, is named for its dual tRNA and mRNA-like properties. Its role is to liberate the mRNA from a stalled ribosome. Lineage: Bacteria; Pseudomonadati; Bacteroidota. The record is from RNAcentral.
GGGGCUGACCGGUAUUGACGGGGAGUUGAUUGAGAAUGUAAGCAUGUCGGGCGAUGAAGGUUUGUCCCGUAAAAACGCAUCUUCAAGCAAUAACUGGCGAAACUAAUUACGCUCUUGCUGCUUAAUCGAAUAAAGUAGAUUAUUAGCUUUACAUUGUACUAGGUACUUUGGCAAGACAUUCCGCAGAAGGCCCGCCUUUAGUCGUCUGAUUACGGAGUGCAAUAAUUAAGGGAUAGCAAAUAUAAAGCUUGUGUUUAUUUGCGAGAUUUUCAAGCUAAGGAAAAAAUAGAGUGCUCGUUCCCGGUUUUUUCUCGAAAAACAAUAAUAGAGCUACACAUGUAGAAAGCAUUAGCAAUGCUUUUCCGGACCAGGGUUCAAAUCCCUGCAGUUCCAC